CGCUGGCGGCGUGCUUAACACAUGCAAGUCGAACGAUGAAGCGGUGCUUGCACCGUGGAUUAGUGGCGAACGGGUGAGUAAUACGUGAGUGACCUACCUUUGACUCUGGGAUAAGCCUGGGAAACUGGGUCUAAUACCGGAUACGACCAAUCUCUGCAUGGGGUGUUGGUGGAAAGCGUUAUGGAGUGGUUUUAGAUGGGCUCACGGCCUAUCAGCUUGUUGGUGAGGUAAUGGCUUACCAAGGCGACGACGGGUAGCCGGCCUGAGAGGGUGACCGGCCACACUGGGACUGAGACACGGCCCAGACUCCUACGGGAGGCAGCAGUGGGGAAUAUUGCACAAUGGGCGCAAGCCUGAUGCAGCGACGCCGCGUGAGGGAUGACGGCCUUCGGGUUGUAAACCUCUGUUAGCAUCGAAGAAGCGAAAGUGACGGUAGGUGCAGAGAAAGCGCCGGCUAACUACGUGCCAGCAGCCGCGGUAAUACGUAGGGCGCGAGCGUUGUCCGGAAUUAU
This 512-nucleotide ribosomal RNA is filed under the name Rothia aeria. Its description in RNAcentral is "bacterial SSU rRNA". It matches the Rfam family "Bacterial small subunit ribosomal RNA", at positions 34 to 554 of the family's 1533-position model. The record is from RNAcentral. Lineage: Bacteria; Bacillati; Actinomycetota; Actinomycetes; Micrococcales; Micrococcaceae.